This 152-nucleotide non-coding RNA is filed under the name Brassica napus (rape). RNAcentral describes it as "Archaeal large subunit ribosomal RNA". It matches the Rfam family "Bacterial large subunit ribosomal RNA", at positions 2473 to 2586 of the family's 2925-position model. The record is from Rfam by way of RNAcentral. Lineage: Eukaryota; Viridiplantae; Streptophyta; Magnoliopsida; Brassicales; Brassicaceae.
GAUAACAGGCUGAUGACUCCCAAGAGCUCUUAUCGUUGGAGUCAUUUGGCACCUCGAUGUCGACUCAUCACAUCCUGGGGUUGAAGAAGGUCCCAAGGGUUCGGUUGUUCGCCGUUCACUUUGUUCUUUCUCUUCCCUUCUCCCGUUAGCUU